RNAcentral lists this ribosomal RNA (882 nucleotides) under uncultured bacterium. RNAcentral's name for it is "bacterial SSU rRNA". It matches the Rfam family "Bacterial small subunit ribosomal RNA", at positions 8 to 878 of the family's 1533-position model. The record is from RNAcentral.
AGAGUUUGAUCCUGGCUCAGGACGAACGCUGGCGGCGUGCUUAAUACAUGCAAGUCGAGCGGGGUUACUGCGACAGAUCCCUUCGGGGUGACGUUGCUUUAACCUAGCGGCGGACGGGUGAGUAACGCGUGGGUAACCUACCCUAAAGCUCGGGAUAACAGUGGGAAACCGCUGCUAAUACCGGAUGACUUUAACCUAUGGCAUCAUGGGUUAAAGAAAGAUUUAUCGCUUUAGGAUGGGCCCGCGUCCCAUUAGCUAGUUGGUGAGGUAACGGCUCACCAAGGCGACGAUGGGUAGCCGGCCUGAGAGGGUGUACGGCCACACUGGGACUGAGACACGGCCCAGGCUCCUACGGGAGGCAGCAGUAGGGAAUAUUGCGCAAUGGACGGAAGUCUGACGCAGCGACGCCGCGUGAGCGAUGAAGGCCUUCGGGUCGUAAAGCUCUGUCCUUGGGGAAGAAGGUCUUCGGACUUGACGGUACCCAAGAAGAAAGCCCCGGCUAACUACGUGCCAGCAGCCGCGGUAAUACGUAGGGGGCGAGCGUUGUCCGGAAUUACUGGGCGUAAAGGGUGCGUAGGCGGCCCUUUAAGUCAGAUGUGAAAGGCCACGGCUUAACCGUGGGAUUGCAUUUGAAACUGGAGGGCUUGAGUGUCGGAGAGGGUAGUGGAAUUCCCAGUGUAGCGGUGAAAUGCGUAGAUAUUGGGAGGAACACCAGUGGCGAAGGCGACUACCUGGACGAUAACUGACGCUGAGGCACGAAAGCUAGGGGAGCAAACAGGAUUAGAUACCCUGGUAGUCCUAGCCGUAAACGAUGGGUACUAGGUGUAGGUGGUUUCGAUACCAUCUGUGCCGGAGUUAACGCAAUAAGUACCCCGCCUGGGG